AGUACCAUACAUCAAAGCAGAUGGAGGAGUGAUGCUAUGGUUUAGGUACCAUACACUAGAGCAUAUUGAGAAGAGAUGUCAUGGGAUGAGUACCAUGGUUCGUAGUGAAUGAUGCUUGUGGUUCUCCGGUUAUCCGGUCACGAUUGAUGAGGUAGAGAUUGGACGCUAUGGGUUUUAGGCCCGUGGGCCAUGAUUGAGUUCGAAGAGGCGUCCCUUGAGAGGGAGGUCGAGAGCAUAUCAGAGUAUUUUGGUAAGGAGUUAGAGGGAGGGGAGAAUUUCGGUAUGAGUUGAGCAAUCAGUCGAUAGAGGAGAUGUCACCUUCUAUGACCUGAGUGGUGCUAUUUAUGUUCGUGUGCGGAACAUGAGAGGCCUGAUGUUUAUGUUUCGGGUUUGGGGGUAAAACCCUGCAGGUUGUCAUUGAUGAUGAUUUUCCAUCAGGGUAUCAGGUAGCAUGUGUGCUGCGAGACAGUGAUUUACCAUGAGCAGAUAGUCAGUUGGGACUGAGAUAGUCGAGGACCAUGUUACACCUAUUUGAGUAUAGUAUGGCGUAUUGUAGAGGUGUCAAUGGGGAGUCCAGUCGAGUUAAUCAGUGCAAUGGUUUUUCUAUCUAUGUUGGAUAUUGAAUAUGGGAGUNAGAACAUGAGAGGCCUGAUGUUUAUGUUUCGGGUUUGGGGGUAAAACCCUGCAGGUUGUCAUUGAUGAUGAUUUUCCAUCAGGGUAUCAGGUAGCAUGUGUGCUGCGAGACAGUGAUUUACCAUGAGCAGAUAGUCAGUUGGGACUGAGAUAGUCGAGGACCACGUUACACCUAUUUGAGUAUAGUAGGGCGUAUUGUAGAGGUAUCAGUGGGGAGUCCAGUCGAGUUAAUCAGUGCAGUGGUUUUUCUAUCUAUGUUGGAUAUUGAAUAUGGGAGUGGGUCCCUGUUCUU
Molecule: long non-coding RNA, 925 nt
Filed under: Lactuca sativa (garden lettuce)
Lineage: Eukaryota; Viridiplantae; Streptophyta; Magnoliopsida; Asterales; Asteraceae
Description: long non-coding RNA (LSAT_LNC004133)
Source: RNAcentral